UGGGGAAUUUUGCACAAUGGGGGAAACCCUGAUGCAGCGACGCCGCGUGAUUUAGAAGGCCUUCGGGUUGUAAAAAUCUUUUCUAUGGGAAGAAAAUGACAGUACCAUAGGAAUAAGGACCGGCUAAUUACGUGCCAGCAGCCGCGGUAAUACGUAAGGUCCGAGCGUUGUCCGGAAUCAUUGGGCGUAAAGGGUACGUAGGCGGGUAAGCAAGUUAGAAGUGAAAUCCUGUAGCUCAACUACAGUAAGCUUUUAAAACUGCUCAUCUUGAGAUAUGGAAGGGAGAGUGGAAUUCCUAGUGUAGCGGUGAAAUGCGCAGAUAUUAGGAGGAAUACCGGUGGCGAAGGCGACUUACCGGCCACACACUGCCGCUGAGGAACGAAAGCGUGGGUAGCAAACAGG
This 402-nucleotide ribosomal RNA is filed under the name Bacteroidota bacterium. Its description in RNAcentral is "Bacteroidetes bacterium partial 16S ribosomal RNA". It matches the Rfam family "Bacterial small subunit ribosomal RNA", at positions 355 to 776 of the family's 1533-position model. The record is from RNAcentral. Lineage: Bacteria; Pseudomonadati; Bacteroidota.